UUUUCCCCGGUGGGGAUCUACCCCCGGGGUCGCCAGGCGCUGUCUCUGCCGCGGAGUUGGAAACGGCACUGCUGAGUGAGGUUAAGGGGUGUCUCGGUGUGUGCCCUCUUCCUGAUUCUGGAGAAAAAUGCCGGUCCGGAAGCAAGAUACCCAGAGAGCAUUGCACCUUUUGGAAGAAUAUCGUUCAAAACUAAGCCAAACUGAAGACAGACAGCUCAGAAGUUCCAUAGAACGGGUUAUUAACAUAUUUCAGAGCAACCUCUUUCAGGCUUUAAUAGAUAUUCAAGAAUUUUAUGAAGUGACCUUACUGGAUAAUCCAAAAUGUAUAGAUCGUUCAAAGCCGUCUGAACCAAUUCAACCUGUGAAUACUUGGGAGAUUUCCAGCCUUCCAAGCUCUACUGUGACUUCAGAGACACUGCCAAGCAGCCUUAGCCCUAGUGUAGAGAAAUACAGGUAUCAGGAUGAAGAUACACCUCCUCAAGAGCAUAUUUCCCCACAAAUCACAAAUGAAGUGAUAGGUCCAGAAUUGGUUCAUGUCUCAGAGAAGAACUUAUCAGAGAUUGAGAAUGUCCAUGGAUUUGUUUCUCAUUCUCAUAUUUCACCAAUAAAGGCAAAUCCUCCCCCAGUACUGGUCAACACAGAUAGCUUGGAAACACCAACUUACGUUAAUGGCACAGAUGCAGAUUAUGAAUAUGAAGAAAUCACACUUGAAAGGGGAAAUUCAGGGCUUGGUUUCAGCAUUGCAGGAGGUACGGACAACCCACACAUUGGAGAUGACUCAAGUAUUUUCAUUACCAAAAUUAUCACAGGGGGAGCAGCCGCCCAAGAUGGAAGAUUGCGGGUCAAUGACUGUAUAUUACGAGUAAAUGAAGUAGAUGUUCGUGAUGUAACACAUAGCAAAGCAGUUGAAGCGUUGAAAGAAGCAGGGUCUAUUGUACGCUUGUAUGUAAAAAGAAGGAAACCAGUGUCAGAAAAAAUAAUGGAAAUAAAGCUCAUUAAAGGUCCUAAAGGUCUUGGGUUUAGCAUUGCUGGAGGUGUUGGAAAUCAGCAUAUUCCUGGGGAUAAUAGCAUCUAUGUAACCAAAAUAAUCGAAGGAGGUGCAGCACAUAAGGAUGGCAAACUUCAGAUUGGAGAUAAACUUUUAGCAGUGAAUAACGUAUGUUUAGAAGAAGUUACUCAUGAAGAAGCAGUAACUGCCUUAAAGAACACAUCUGAUUUUGUUUAUUUGAAAGUGGCAAAACCCACAAGUAUGUAUAUGAAUGAUGGCUAUGCACCACCUGAUAUCACCAACUCUUCUUCUCAGCCUGUUGAUAACCAUGUUAGCCCAUCUUCCUUCUUGGGCCAGACACCAGCAUCUCCAGCCAGAUACUCCCCAGUUUCUAAAGCAGUACUUGGAGAUGAUGAAAUUACAAGGGAACCUAGAAAAGUUGUUCUUCAUCGUGGCUCAACGGGCCUUGGUUUCAACAUUGUAGGAGGAGAAGAUGGAGAAGGAAUAUUUAUUUCCUUUAUCUUAGCCGGAGGACCUGCUGAUCUAAGUGGAGAGCUCAGAAAAGGAGAUCGUAUUAUAUCGGUAAACAGUGUUGACCUCAGAGCUGCUAGUCAUGAGCAGGCAGCAGCUGCAUUGAAAAAUGCUGGCCAGGCUGUCACAAUUGUGGCACAAUAUCGACCUGAAGAAUACAGUCGUUUUGAAGCUAAAAUACAUGAUUUACGGGAGCAGAUGAUGAAUAGUAGUAUUAGUUCAGGGUCAGGUUCUCUUCGAACUAGCCAGAAGCGGUCCCUCUAUGUCAGAGCCCUUUUUGAUUAUGACAAGACUAAAGACAGUGGGCUUCCCAGUCAGGGACUGAACUUCAAAUUUGGAGAUAUCCUCCAUGUUAUUAAUGCUUCUGAUGAUGAAUGGUGGCAAGCCAGGCAGGUUACACCAGAUGGUGAGAGCGAUGAGGUCGGAGUGAUUCCCAGUAAACGCAGAGUUGAGAAGAAAGAACGAGCCCGAUUAAAAACAGUGAAAUUCAAUUCUAAAACGAGAGAUAAAGGGGUGAGUAUUUGAAAUCUCUACAUUUUUGUAAUUCCUGUUUGAGCUACAUUGUUAAAAUGAAAAGGAUUUUGCUCUCAGAAUUAUUCAUGAUCAGUUCUUGCCAUGGUGCUUUACAAUGGUAGAUACUUAAGCAUUUGUUAAAUUCAAGCACCCAUUUCACAGACCCUUCCAAAUUAUCAAAACUAUCAUUUGAUAUAUUAUAAGCAACAUACUUUUGGUCAAGCUUAUUUUUAUAAAUGAAAUGUAUUUGACCUUCAUUCGAUUUCCAAUUAGAAAUUUGUGUUACUAGGCCAGGCAUGGUGGCUCACACCUGUAAUCCCAGCACUUUGGGAGGCCAAGUCAGGCAGAUCACCUGAGGUUAGGAGUUAAGAGACCGGCCUGGCCAACAUGGCGAAACCCCGUCUCUACCAAAAAUAUAAAAAUUAGCCAGGCGUGGUGGCGGGCAUUUGUAAUCCCAGCUACUCGGGAGGCUGAGGCACAAGAGUCACUUGAACCCGGUAGGCGGAGGUUGCAUUGAGCCCAGAUCGCACCUCUGUGCUCCAGACUGGGCAACAGAGCGAGACUCCGUCUCAA
RNAcentral lists this small RNA (2605 nucleotides) under Pan troglodytes (chimpanzee). Its description in RNAcentral is "retained intron". Lineage: Eukaryota; Metazoa; Chordata; Mammalia; Primates; Hominidae. The record is from RNAcentral.